GACGAACGCUGGCGGCGUGCCUAAUACAUGCAAGUUGAGCGCUGAAGGUUGGUACUUGUACCAACUGGAUGAGCAGCGAACGGGUGAGUAACGCGUGGGGAAUCUGCCUUUGAGCGGGGGACAACAUUUGGAAACGAAUGCUAAUACCGCAUAAAAACUUUAAACACAAGUUUUAAGUUUGAAAGAUGCAAUUGCAUCACUCAAAGAUGAUCCCGCGUUGUAUUAGCUAGUUGGUGAGGUAAAGGCUCACCAAGGCGAUGAUACAUAGCCGACCUGAGAGGGUGAUCGGCCACAUUGGGACUGAGACACGGCCCAAACUCCUACGGGAGGCAGCAGUAGGGAAUCUUCGGCAAUGGACGAAAGGCUGACCGAGCAACGCCGCGUGAGUGAAGAAGGUUUUCGGAUCGUAAAACUCUGUUGGUAGAGAAGAACGUUGGUGAGAGUGGAAAGCUCAUCAAGUGACGGUAAAUACCCAGAAAGGGACGGCUAACUACGUG
RNAcentral lists this ribosomal RNA (497 nucleotides) under uncultured bacterium. RNAcentral describes it as "partial 16S ribosomal RNA". It matches the Rfam family "Bacterial small subunit ribosomal RNA", at positions 28 to 507 of the family's 1533-position model. The record is from RNAcentral.